Molecule: ribosomal RNA, 252 nt
Filed under: uncultured bacterium
Lineage: Bacteria
Description: partial 16S ribosomal RNA
Rfam family: Bacterial small subunit ribosomal RNA
Source: RNAcentral
UACGUAGGGCGCAAGCGUUAUCCGGAAUUAUUGGGCGUAAAGAGCUCGUAGGCGGUUUGUCGCGUCUGCCGUGAAAGUCCGGGCUCAACUCCGGAUCUGCGGUGGGUACGGGCAGACUAGAGUGAUGUAGGGGAGACUGGAAUUCCUGGUGUAGCGGUGAAAUGCGCAGAUAUCAGGAGGAACACCGAUGGCGAAGGCAGGUCUCUGGGCAUUAACUGACGCUGAGGAGCGAAAGCAUGGGGAGCGAGCAGG